CCGAGUUUACAACUCCCAAACCCCUGUGAACAUACCACUUGUUGCCUCGGCGGAUCAGCCCGCUCCCGGUAAAAACGGGACGGCCCGCCAGAGGACCCCUAAACUCUGUUUCUAUAUGUAACUUCUGAGUAAAACCACAAAUAAAUCA
RNAcentral lists this unclassified non-coding RNA (148 nucleotides) under soil metagenome. RNAcentral describes it as "partial internal transcribed spacer 1". The record is from RNAcentral.